RNAcentral lists this unclassified non-coding RNA (1271 nucleotides) under uncultured Neocallimastigales. RNAcentral's name for it is "partial contains internal transcribed spacer 1, 5.8S ribosomal RNA, internal transcribed spacer 2, and large subunit ribosomal RNA". The stretch from base 568 to 1271 matches the Rfam family "Eukaryotic large subunit ribosomal RNA", at positions 1 to 620 of the family's 3401-position model. The record is from RNAcentral. Lineage: Eukaryota; Fungi; Neocallimastigomycota; Neocallimastigomycetes; Neocallimastigales.
UUUGAAUAAUUUUUUUUCCAAAAAAAAAUUAUUGAAUGUCUUUCCCUGUUUUGGUGGAGCUUGUAAAGUGAAACCAGGCAGGGGAAUGGCAAACAGUAAUUAUUUUUGAAAAAGACCUUUUUUAAAAUUAAACUUUUUGUAUUCAUUUGUCUAAAAUUAUUUUUAUAAUAUAAAAACAACUUUUGACAAUGGAUCUCUUGGCUCUCGCAACGAUGAAGAACGCAGCAAAAUGCGAUAAGUAGUGUGAAUUGCAGAAUACGUGAAUCAUCGAAUCUUCGAACGCAUAUUGCACUUUUUUAGUUUACUAAAAAAGUAUGUCUGUUUGAGUAUCAGUAAAAUAUUCUCAUAAAAAAUUUAUUUUUUAUGGUUAUGAGUGUUUUACAACGAUAACAAGUUGUUUCACUUUAAAUUCUUUGUUAUCAAAAAAAUCAUUAAAAGCUAAUUUUAAAGAUUUUUUAAAAUUGGAUAAAAUUUUCCCGUAAAAAGGAAUAACCUAAACAAUUUUAAAAAAUUAAAAUUGGUUUGAUUUUUCUUGAUUUAAAAAGGAAAAAAAAGUAAAAAUUAACUUGAUCUCAAAUCAGAUAAGAGUACCCGCUGAACUUAAGCAUAUCAAUAAGCGGAGGAAAAGAAACUAACUAGGAUUCCCUCAGUAACGGCGAGUGAAGCGGGAAGAGCUCAAAUUUGAAAUCUUCAAGGUUUUACCUUGACGAAUUGUAGUUUAAAGAAGUGUUUUCUGUUGGAGUUUUGGUAAAAGUUCUUUGGAAAAGGACAUCAUAGAGGGUGAGAAUCCCGUAUCUGACCAUUAUCUCCAGCUUUGUGAUACACUUUCAAAGAGUCGGAUUGUUUGGGAAUGCAGUCCAAAAUGGGUGGUAAAUUUCAUCUAAAGCUAAAUACUGGCGAGAGACCGAUAGCGAACAAGUACCGUGAGGGAAAGAUGAAAAGAACUUUGAAAAGAGAGUUAAACAGUACGUGAAAUUGUCAAAAGGGAAGCGUUUGACACCAGUGUUGUUUUCUCGAAAAUCAAUUAAAAAAGGCCGGAUUUUGUGUUGUAUUGACUUUAUCAGCUUUCUGCACUUUUUUCUUGUCUUUUUCAAUGCACUUUUCGUUUAACAAGUCAACAUCAAUUUCUUUUGUUGUAAAAGGGUCAUUGGAAGGUGGCUUUCUUUUCGGAGAAGUGUUUAUAGCCUUUGGCCUCUGCAAUCGGAGAGAUUGAGGUCUGCAGCGUAGAUCCUUCGGGUUAGAUACAUUUGUGCUAAGUUAUAGCCUCUCAU